This 1619-nucleotide unclassified non-coding RNA is filed under the name Harpegnathos saltator (Jerdon's jumping ant). RNAcentral describes it as "mucin-5AC-like, transcript variant X2". Lineage: Eukaryota; Metazoa; Arthropoda; Insecta; Hymenoptera; Formicidae. The record is from RNAcentral.
GUGUCGGGUUGGUGGUGGUGGAGUGCGGACCAGUCGAGACUCCCUCGCACACGUAAGGGCAUGAAACGGAGCCGGGAGUACACGAGGCGAGUCAGUGCGCUAUCGACUGCGAUCGGAGGAGGACGACGUGCGUCGAGCCGAGUCGACGAGUCCUCCGUCGAGUGCCCGAACUGAACUUUGCCGAAGUUCCUCCAAACGUCGCCGAUGACACGGAGGAAUACGUAAUCUCCGUGGCGGUGAACGGAGUUCUGGGAUUAUAUCGAGCAACGGAUCUCUCAAUUACACGUGCCCGGACGAGCGGAUUUGUGGAUUAUACCUGUCCCGUUCAGGGAAAUACAAGUGUAUUUUGUCGUUGAGUGCGUGCGGGGGUGCGUGAAUCGACGGGGAGAGUGAGCCGGUGGUGGUCCAUGAGGGGAAGAUGAGCGACCACGUGGUGAAAAGUACGUGCGAGCUUUCAGCCUACGUGACAGGAGCGGCGAACCGACGCGUCGGGAGAAAUCGCAAGGAGCGCGGACGAGGGAGCCGAGGGACUUAGGUGCAACAGCGGCCAUAAAGCAAGAUUAAUGAGGCGAAGUGCGCUCUGGUAGGAAGCUGUCAGGGUCCUGGCGCCAGCUGACCAGACGACUCGGCUCGCACAGCCGUAUCGACCACACGUACACCCGUUACACCCACACGCACAUUCGCCAACUAUGAUCCAAAUCCUCUCUCUUUCUUCCGCGCCGUUCGCGUCGGAACGAGCGAGUCCGCUCGAUCCGCGUUCUCGAGGAGCGAGAAAGGAGAGAGACCGCGCGAGAGAGCGUAAUUUAACAACAAUUAAUGGACCGGCGUAACGAUAAGGAUGCCGGGAAAGAAAUUAGAGGGAAGCACGGCGGAGAAAUAAAGAGCACAUCCGACAAAGGGACGAACGAGUAAUGAGGAUUCGCGAGGCGCACUCUCGCCGGAAACGGGGAAAUUUAAUACAGCAAUAUCUCAUAUUAAUAUUAAUUAUCUGAUACUUUAGACUCUCGUGGUGUGCGAAAUGAGUGAUAUCCCGCGGAGCAUAUCGUGCCUGCUUGCCCUGCUUGCAUUCGCGUAUCGACACGUUUCAUCUCGGGUGUCGAUCGCGAUCGGAAAAUGCCCGCCUCUUAUUAUCGUCUAUAAUUAUCGCUUAUAAUUAGACCGGCAAUUAAAACCGACCGGCUCGUGUCGUUCGCGACGCGAACAGGAAGAUUCGUUGCGCGAUCAAUCGUCGCUACACUAUUAUUAUUACACAUUAUCGACAUGUAUCCCUGCCUUUUUUCCUCACCUCUCCCACUGCCUCCUACCCGGCCGAUAAUUCCCGCCGCGAUCGAGAGACUGAUCGAUCUCUUUGUCGGCGAGCGAGAGGACGUGACAUUCAAGAAGCGGCGCUCUCUUCCAGGUUGCGGCCAAAGAAAACGCGGACGCGCGUCCGCACGCACGGCGGUGUGCGUGCGGUUGCCAUCUCGUCGCGGCCUUCCGCGUCGUCUUCUUCCCAGGCUGCCAUCGACGCGCUCGCGGACCAUCUCUCGGCAUCGAGAGAGCAGCCGCGUUCGGGACACCUGUCUCCGACGGUUAUCCCACGUUAAGUACAUAACCAGUUUCGCAACGCGAGCUCGAAA